UGAUGUUGGGGUUUGUGAGAAGGGGAAUCCGUCCCCUUUUUUUCCUGCAUUGUUUUUAUUAAGAGAGGCCCUAGGACAACAAUUUCAGUUGAAAUUUCACCCAUUGACUAACUUUUGCAUGAUCUAUUUACUAGAUAUAUCAGAUUUGAGAAGAAAAAUCAAUUUUGACGUAUUUGAGAGAUUGAAGAUUUCGACAAAAAUUUUACUUGAUUUUGAAAAGUUGCGAUUUGUUCGCAAUAGUUAGUUGAUCUUUGAUUAAAUUUGUUCCCUAAGUCUAGCUUUUGGUUCUUCAUUUAACCUUCUCACAAAAAAUAAGGAUUUGCAAGAUUCAAAUUCGAGUUUACUAUUCAUUCAAAUUUUCAAGAGGCCGGAUCAUCUAGAACCGAACAUGAAACUCAAAUUUUGGUUUGGCGGCUUGUCCAAGGAAACUUUGACAAAGAUUGGAGGCAUCAAAUGACACUAAGCAUGAAGAUUGGGGGAUUGUUCUCAAUAUCUGGUAAAUUUCAUUUUUCCAAAUUAAAAUUCAUAUAUUUAUUUUACAAAAGUAGUUAUAGCUGAUUUAUAGCAAACAAUGGAUAUACUUCUUUUUUCUUUAUGAUUUUUAAUGCAUCUUUUUUUUUUUCCUCAUUUUCUGAUGAAAUGGUUUUUAAUUGAUUUUCCAUUUUUCGUUUUUAAUCGACAAGGGUAUGUGUGUCGGUGUCUAACCUGGGUACAAGGUUCCUCAUGCCAUGAAGAAGAGGAUUUGAUGACAUGACCAUUUUAUGAAGAGAACAGCCCAACAAUGUUUUAGUAGUAUUGCAUUUCGUGAUGAGAACGAGAUAAUCAAUUAUUCCUUGAUUGGCUGCAUUUGUAGAUAAUUUGGACGUUUCACUGACAUUUUCAAAUUCGUGUGUCUACUCGUAAGAAAAAUGAAGAUCAAAGCUCUAAAUGUAAUCAAUAGUUAAUAAGCAAGAAGAAUAAUCCAAAAGAAUAUGUGCUGGUAUGUCAGUACAUGUGUUGAGGCAUGUCAGACACUGUUCAGGCACCUAAACAAAAGAAUCCAUAUAACAUAGCAUGAGGAUGAGAGUGAGACCUAGAAAGAUUCAUACUUGAUAGAGGUCCUGUACAGAGAUUUGAAAAAGAGUAUGACCUUUAGCAGAACCCAUGAACCCAUGAAGACUGCUACUUAACUAUGAAGCUUGAAGCGUUCAUGCUCGUGGACUACAGUCACAAUUCAGUGUGGAUAAGCAUAGGUGGAGUGCUGUUAUUGGUGCUCUCCUUUCUUUGUGAUUGGAAAUUUGUUGGGGCCAAGGUCUUGCUCGAUCUUGGGUUCGUGAAAGUUAUCCAAAAGCUAAAGUUGGCCACAUUAUUCAUGUGUUGUAAAGAUUAUCAAGAUCCACUGCCUAAGGUGUGCUACAUGACAAACAAAAUUGCUGGCAAAUGGCUAGUAUGAAGUUGAAGAUGUCAAUGUUUUGGAAGAUGGAAUGUCCAGAUGUGAGAAAGAGUCGAACACCAUUUAGAUUGGUAGGCAAUGCAUGUACAUAAUUCAAGUUUAAGGAAGGAUGUUGGAAAUUGAACUUGAUUUCUAUGGAAUAUUUGAUUUGAAUUGGGAACUUAUCCUGUGAGGUGAGAUCUGCUGUUAUUUGUUGGUAACUUUGGAUUUCAUAGUUAGAUUAGGAUGCGUUUGUAUGUGAUAUUUUACCACAUAUUCCACCCCUUCUCUCCACAUCAACAAAAUUGUGCCAAAAACUACCCCCAAAUCUUUCAUAUUGUAGAAAACAUUUUUACUGCCUCCUUCUUGUAGAGGGGAAAGGUUGC
This 1797-nucleotide long non-coding RNA is filed under the name Amborella trichopoda. Its description in RNAcentral is "long non-coding RNA (ATRI_LNC003393)". Lineage: Eukaryota; Viridiplantae; Streptophyta; Magnoliopsida; Amborellales; Amborellaceae. The record is from RNAcentral.